Molecule: transfer RNA, 72 nt
Filed under: Ictidomys tridecemlineatus (thirteen-lined ground squirrel)
Lineage: Eukaryota; Metazoa; Chordata; Mammalia; Rodentia; Sciuridae
Description: Spermophilus tridecemlineatus (thirteen-lined ground squirrel) tRNA
Rfam family: tRNA
About the family: Transfer RNA (tRNA) molecules are approximately 80 nucleotides in length. Their secondary structure includes four short double-helical elements and three loops (D, anti-codon, and T loops). Further hydrogen bonds mediate the characteristic L-shaped molecular structure. tRNAs have two regions of fundamental functional importance: the anti-codon, which is responsible for specific mRNA codon recognition, and the 3' end, to which the tRNAs corresponding amino acid is attached (by aminoacyl-tRNA synthetases). tRNAs cope with the degeneracy of the genetic code in two manners: having more than one tRNA (with a specific anti-codon) for a particular amino acid; and 'wobble' base-pairing, i.e. permitting non-standard base-pairing at the 3rd anti-codon position.
Source: Rfam by way of RNAcentral
GGGGUUGUGGCUCAGUGGUAGAGUGCUUGCCUUGUAUGUGGGACGCACUGGGUUCAAUCCUCAGCACCCACA